AAGAUGUCUGAAGGUAGUGAGUUAUCUCAAUUGAUGGUUCACAGUCAGUUAUAGAUUGAACUUCUUGUUCUACUCUUUCCCCUUCUUACUACUGUACUUGACUACUGUUUC
Y RNA from Callithrix jacchus (white-tufted-ear marmoset), 111 nucleotides. It matches the Rfam family "Y RNA". From Rfam's summary of the family: Y RNAs are components of the Ro ribonucleoprotein particle (Ro RNP), in association with Ro60 and La proteins. The Y RNAs and Ro60 and La proteins are well conserved, but the function of the Ro RNP is not known. NCBI's taxonomy places the organism in Eukaryota, Metazoa, Chordata, Mammalia, Primates, Cebidae. The record is from Ensembl.